UAAGGAAUAUUGCUCAAUGGGAGAAAUCCUGAAGCAGCAACGCCGCGUGGAGGAUGAAGGGUCUAUGACUUGUAAACUCCUGUAAAGAAGGAAAAAAUUCCCAUUUGAUGGGAGAUGAUGGUACUUCUGGAGUAAGCCCCGGCUAACUACGUGCCAGCAGCCGCGGUAAUACGUAGGGGGCAAGCGUUGUCCGGAUUUAUUGGGUGUAAAGGGUGCUCAGGCGGAUUUGUAAGUCAGAGGUGAAAUCUUACAGCUUAACUGUGAAACUGCCUUUGAUACUGCAAGCCUAGAGUAUGGAAGAGAGUGAUGGAAUAUCUGGUGUAGCAGUGAAAUGCGUAGAUAUCAGAUAGAACACCAAUGGCGAAGGCAGUCACUUGGUCCAUUACUGACGCUAAAGCACGAAAGCGUGGGUAGCAAACA
RNAcentral lists this ribosomal RNA (420 nucleotides) under uncultured bacterium. RNAcentral's name for it is "bacterial SSU rRNA". It matches the Rfam family "Bacterial small subunit ribosomal RNA", at positions 355 to 774 of the family's 1533-position model. The record is from RNAcentral.